UACAGAGGGUGCAAGCGUUGUUCGGAAUUACUGGGCGUAAAGGGCGCGUAGGCGGCCCGCUACGUCGAACGUGAAAUCCCCAGGCUUAACCUGGGAACUGCGUCCGAUACUGGCAGGCUUGAAUCCGGGAGAGGGAUGUGGAAUUCCAGGUGUAGCGGUGAAAUGCGUAGAUAUCUGGAGGAACACCGGUGGCGAAGGCGGCAUCCUGGACCGGCAUUGACGCUGAGGCGCGAAAGCUAGGGGAGCAAACGGG
RNAcentral lists this ribosomal RNA (253 nucleotides) under uncultured bacterium. Its description in RNAcentral is "partial 16S ribosomal RNA". It matches the Rfam family "Bacterial small subunit ribosomal RNA", at positions 524 to 776 of the family's 1533-position model. The record is from RNAcentral.